Molecule: long non-coding RNA, 747 nt
Organism: Drosophila navojoa
Lineage: Eukaryota; Metazoa; Arthropoda; Insecta; Diptera; Drosophilidae
Source: RefSeq, a predicted model, not a curated record
UAUGUGUAUGUGUCUAUAUAUAUAAUUUUAUAUAUAAAUCUAGCUAUAAUUUCGGCUAUUGUUGGCGCUGCAGCGUGCAGAAAUUGUUGUUGACAACGAACACACACAUAUACACACAAAUAUGUCAUCUGGUCAGCCAUGCCCCCACCCCUCUAACCAAGCCUCUCCCCCACCCUUCACAUACACACCCGCACAUUUCUUGUAGCUAUAUAUAUAUAUAUAAACACGUAUAUAUAACAUAUACUUCGUAUGUAUUGUUGAACGCGUUUGUACAAAGUGAAACCGAACGAAAGAAACAGAUAGCGAACAAGAGAAACAAAGGAUAUCCUUAAGGCGCGCGUUCUAUAUUUAAAUGCUAAACUAACACACCCACACCCACACACAAACAUAUAUAUACACAACUAACUAUAUAUAUAUACAUAUAUAUGCAUAUAUAUACAAUUUGUAACUUUUUUGGAAUGAAAUUUUAAAUGUUUAAACUUACAUUCGUAGCUUAAGGAUACGUUAGUGCAAUAGCUUUUAGAGAGAAACAGAGAGAAAAAGUGUAAGAGAGAAGCGAGAGUGCAAUAAGUGCAUUGUACAUACAUCUUAAUAUGUAUAAAGCAAUUAGAGAUGCCAUCAGAUAUGUCCAUGGCUAACCAAAAACACAAAGCAUCAAUAUCGUGUGUGAGAUGAGAAAAAAAGAUUAGAUGGAAAAUGUAACGAAACGCACCGACACACAAAUAAAACAAACAAACAAAACAACAA